AACCGACCUUUUCCGGAAUCGACUUUUGUUUUAUCACCGGAAAUGAUUUUGAAAUUUGAAUUUCGAAACGAAGACAGGAUAUCAACAAAGAGAGCCAAGAAAAUUGUUUGUUACGCGAUAUAUACUCACUUGGAGCUAAAAGAAAAGCCACAAAGGACAAGUUCAAUAUGCAGGUUUACAAUUUGGAAGUGGCGCAGGUUCUUUGGAAUGUCUACAACCUUUCAGGAGAAUUUUUUUUUGAAAAGCAUGGCACAGCAAGAAAAAGAUAUAAGACACUACAAGACAUUCCAAGUGAUUUUGAAUAAGACAAUUGAUUGACUUUUUCAAUGUAUUCUUAAAUAAAUCAAAUAGUUGAUGUAAAA
Mytilus californianus (California mussel) is the source of this 362-nucleotide long non-coding RNA. RefSeq lists it as uncharacterized. The transcript is spliced from 3 exons. The record is from RefSeq and is a predicted model, not a curated record. NCBI's taxonomy places the organism in Eukaryota, Metazoa, Mollusca, Bivalvia, Mytilida, Mytilidae.